This 504-nucleotide ribosomal RNA is filed under the name Triticum aestivum (bread wheat). RNAcentral describes it as "partial small subunit ribosomal RNA". Lineage: Eukaryota; Viridiplantae; Streptophyta; Magnoliopsida; Poales; Poaceae. The record is from RNAcentral.
AUGUACCCCGCCCGUCCUCUCGAUCCGUCCCCUCCCGCUGCGGCCUCUCUCUUUCCCUCGUCUCCCGCUCCACCGCCGCCGCCCCAUCUUCUGCUCCUCCGCCGCCGCCCCAUCUCCUGCUCCGCCGCCGAGAGGAGUUGCCCUUCGCCGCCGCCGAGAUCCCGUGCCUCUCUACAGAUCCCUCCCUCUCUCCUCUUCGUCCAUCCACCUAAUCAAAAAUCGAAACCCGCCGCCCCUCUGUCUCCGCUGGUGCUCGAAGGAAGACAAGGGCUCCUCCUCCCGGCGAUUCCCUGUGGUCCUCGGCGGCGGAGACAGCUAGGGCAGAACAUCCGGAAGCUGGUAAAGGAUGGUUUAACCAUCAAGAAGCCUCAGAACAUCCGGAAGCUGGUAAAGGAUGGUUUAACCAUCAAGAAGCCUCAGAAGAUCCACUACAGGUUUCAUGCAAGGAGGGCACAUGAGGCCAAGCAGAAGGGCCAUCACUCUGGAUAUGCAUAUGGGUACUAG